GCAGUGGUGGCUCGGUGGUUGAAUUCCCACCUUCCACGUGGGAGACCCAGAUUUAAAUCCUGGCCAAUGUA
This 71-nucleotide transfer RNA is filed under the name Loxodonta africana (African savanna elephant). It matches the Rfam family "tRNA". From Rfam's summary of the family: Transfer RNA (tRNA) molecules are approximately 80 nucleotides in length. Lineage: Eukaryota; Metazoa; Chordata; Mammalia; Proboscidea; Elephantidae. The record is from Rfam by way of RNAcentral.